This 467-nucleotide ribosomal RNA is filed under the name uncultured bacterium. RNAcentral describes it as "partial 16S ribosomal RNA". It matches the Rfam family "Bacterial small subunit ribosomal RNA", at positions 28 to 506 of the family's 1533-position model. The record is from RNAcentral.
GACGAACGCUGGCGGCGUGCUUAACACAUGCAAGUCGAACGGAAAGGCCCUGCUUUUGUGGGGUGCUCGAGUGGCGAACGGGUGAGUAACACGUGAGUAACCUGCCCUUGACUUUGGGAUAACUUCAGGAAACUGGGGCUAAUACCGGAUAGGAGCUCCUGCUGCAUGGUGGGGGUUGGAAAGUUUCGGCGGUUGGGGAUGGACUCGCGGCUUAUCAGCUUGUUGGUGGGGUAGUGGCUUACCAAGGCUUUGACGGGUAGCCGGCCUGAGAGGGUGACCGGCCACAUGGGGACUGAGAUACGGCCCAGACUCUUACGGGAGGCAGCAGUGGGGAAUAUGGCAAAAUGGGCGGAAGCCUGAUGAAGCAACGCCGCGUGCGGGAUGACGGCUUUCGGGUUGUAAACCGCUUUCGCCUGUGACGAAGCGUGAGUGACGGUAAUGGGUAAAGAAGCACCGGCAAACUACGU